UACGAAGGCCCCGAGCGUUAUCCGGAUUUAUUGGGCGUAAAGCGUUAAAAGGCGGUUCUGUAAGUAUUCGGUCAAAUCUCAUGGCUUAACCAUGAGGCUGCCGGGUAAACUGCAGGACUUGAGGUCGGAAGAGGCAAGCGGAACUACCGGUGUAGUGGUAAAAUGCGUUCAUAUCGGUAGGAACACCAAAGGCGAAGGCAGCUUGCUGGUACGAACCUGACGCUAAAUAACGAAAGCGUGGGGAGCGAAUGGG
RNAcentral lists this ribosomal RNA (253 nucleotides) under uncultured bacterium. RNAcentral's name for it is "partial 16S ribosomal RNA". It matches the Rfam family "Bacterial small subunit ribosomal RNA", at positions 524 to 776 of the family's 1533-position model. The record is from RNAcentral.